Molecule: small nuclear RNA, 104 nt
Organism: Rhinopithecus bieti (black snub-nosed monkey)
Lineage: Eukaryota; Metazoa; Chordata; Mammalia; Primates; Cercopithecidae
Source: Ensembl
GUGCUCACUUCAGCACAUACAGUAAAAUUGGAACGAUACAGAGAAGAUUAGCAUGGCCCCUGUGCAAGGAUGACAUGCUUUUAUUUUUUAUUUUAUUUUAUUUU